Molecule: ribosomal RNA, 451 nt
Filed under: uncultured bacterium
Lineage: Bacteria
Description: partial 16S ribosomal RNA
Rfam family: Bacterial small subunit ribosomal RNA
Source: RNAcentral
GAUGAACGCUGGCGGCGUGCCUAACACAUGCAAGUCGAGCGGCAGCGCGGGGUGCUUGCACCCUGUCGGCGAGCGGCGGACGGCUGAGUAACGCGUGGGAACGUGCCCCAAAGUGAGGGAUAACUGCCCGAACGGGUAGCUAAUACCGCAUAUUAUCUUCGAAUCAAAGGAUUUAUCCGCUUUGGGAGCGGCUCGCGUCGGAUUAGGUAGUUUGUGAGGUAAUUGCUCACCAAGCCGACGAUCCGUAGAUGGUCGGAGAGGAUGACCAGCCAGACUGGAACUAGGACACGGUCGAGACUCCUACGGGAGGCAGCAGUGCGGAACCUUCCAAAAUGGGGGAAGGCAUGAAGGAGCACCGCCGCGUGAAGGACGAAGGCCUUGGGGUUGUAAACUGCUUUUAUAAGUGAGGAAUAUGACGGUAACUUAUGAAUAAGGAUCGGCUAACUACGUG